GAACCUAAUGUUGCCAUCAAUUCCAAGCCUGAGAUAUGUUAUGGUGCUAUUGUUCACUGGCCUGCCAAGGAUUCUAUUGCCACCAGAUGAAGAAUUGGCCACAUGGUAAUCAAAUCCAAGUUCAAAAGUUUCUGGAUCAGAUGUGAAGGUGACAUUUUCCAAGGACCCUCGUUGAAUGGUGAACCAAUCAGAAGAAAACCAAUAGAGAAUUGGCUUAGGAGAAUUCUUGCUCUUGUAGUACAAGGCUAACCCUUUAGGCUCCAAGACCAAACUAUAAGGCCCAUCAACAUUUUCCUUCUCUGAGAGCCUACUAACCAACUUGGAUGGCCCUUUUGCUCUAAGAUAUUGACCGACCAAAAGGGUAUCUGUGGGGUGAUCAAAACUCUGCCAAACGAACCCGCCUUGUGCAUCAAGAAGGACCAUGUUACCAUUUGAAAGAAGCCUGAAGGCCACAACACCCUUGUUGGCAGUGUUAGUUUGCCAUGCAAUUCUGCCAUCAGCAUCUGCCAACACAAGGUUCCCAUCAGUGCCAAGUGAAAAAGUGGCAUUUUCUCCAACUGGGUUGGCCCUGUUGGCCUCCCAAACCCAACGAAAUAGCUGCUCCGAGCGUUGGAGCCCUACACGCAAAGCUAGAGUGAAGGCAUUUGGGGUGGUGUUGUAGAAACCAACUUGGAAUGGAGAGUUGAAGAUGCUUAUCAUUCUGUAAUCUGCACCGUACUCAACGAUGUAGGGUCCAAGUUCACCUGAGUUCUCAAAUUUGAAGGUUUCGUUUUGAGGAACAAUUGCAUGC
RNAcentral lists this long non-coding RNA (790 nucleotides) under Glycine max (soybean). RNAcentral's name for it is "long non-coding RNA (GMAX_LNC003012)". The record is from RNAcentral. Lineage: Eukaryota; Viridiplantae; Streptophyta; Magnoliopsida; Fabales; Fabaceae.